ACUGCCUUUGCUACAGAUAAGUGUGGGACAGUGCCACUGUAUCUUGGGAUAUCAGCCUUCCCAUAAUGGACACUAUUGCAUCCAAAAACUGUACCAGGUGUGCAAGGACAAAAGAAUUCGCAACCAGAAUGGAGACUGUCUGGACAAACACCAGUGGUCCCUCCUCUGCAGACAGCAGGUUUGUCAAACUUCAGAGGACUACCAGGGGUAUGAUGGUGAGCUGGGUUUGUGUGUUUGCAAAGAGCCCCCUGGCAGAGCAUCAUGUGAGGGCCUUUGCAGAGUUCAUGGGGCUACUCAGCUGAGGCUGUGGUGCAGAUCCAAUGGAAGCUUAGAGCUGGAGUGGAGCAAUGAAAGCCAUGUGUCGAGCGUCUCAGGUAGCACGCUGGAAACACUUUUCAAACAGUGGGACUCUCAGGGGAACCUGCAGUGCCCCAGCCAGCAGAACUCCUCACGCCCUAUCUACAUAGUUCACACAUCAGAUGCUGGUUUCCUUGGUAUCCUCAGUGGUC
This 509-nucleotide long non-coding RNA is filed under the name Gouania willdenowi (blunt-snouted clingfish). Its description in RNAcentral is "lncRNA (ENSGWIG00000006116.1)". Lineage: Eukaryota; Metazoa; Chordata; Actinopteri; Blenniiformes; Gobiesocidae. The record is from RNAcentral.